Molecule: ribosomal RNA, 396 nt
Rfam family: Bacterial large subunit ribosomal RNA
AUGGUUAAGCUACUAAGAGCACACGGAGGAUGCCUAGGCGCUAGGAGCCGAUGAAGGACGUGGCGAACAACGAAACUGCCUCGGGGAGCUGUAAGCAAGCUUUGAUCCGGGGGUGUCCGAAUGGGGAAACCCAGCUGGGGUAAUUUCCAGUUACUCACAACUGAAUACAUAGGUUGUGCAGAGGCAUACCAAGGGAACUGAAACAUCUAAGUACCUUGAGGAAGAGAAAACAAUAGUGAUUCCGUCAGUAGCGGCGAGCGAACGCGGAGAAGCCCAAACCAGAGAGCUUGCUCUUUGGGGUUGUGGGACGUCUCACAUGGAGUUACAAAGGAACCGGUUAAGUGAAGAGGUCUGGAAAGGCCCGCCAAAGAAGGUAAAAGCCCUGUAGUUGAAAGU